GGGCCCGCACAAGCGGUGGAGCAUGUGGUUUAAUUCGAUGAUACGCGAGGAACCUUACCAGGGCUUAAAUGUAAGUUGCAUAAGCUAGAGAUAGCUUUUUCUUCGGACUACUUACAAGGUGCUGCAUGGUUGUCGUCAGCUCGUGCCGUGAGGUGUCAGGUUAAGUCCUAUAACGAGCGCAACCCCUGUUGUUAGUUGCCAUCGAGUAAUGUCGGGAACUCUAACAAGACUGCCGGUGCAAACCGUGAGGAAGGUGGGGAUGACGUCAAAUCAUCACGGCCCUUACGUCCUGGGCUACACACGUGCUACAAUGGCCGGUACAGAGAGCAGCCACUACGCGAGUAGGCGCGAAUCUUCAAAGCCGGUCUCAGUUCGGAUCGGAGUCUGCAACUCGACUCCGUGAAGCUGGAAUC
RNAcentral lists this ribosomal RNA (413 nucleotides) under uncultured bacterium. RNAcentral describes it as "bacterial SSU rRNA". It matches the Rfam family "Bacterial small subunit ribosomal RNA", at positions 917 to 1333 of the family's 1533-position model. The record is from RNAcentral.